RNAcentral lists this ribosomal RNA (492 nucleotides) under uncultured bacterium. Its description in RNAcentral is "partial 16S ribosomal RNA". It matches the Rfam family "Bacterial small subunit ribosomal RNA", at positions 29 to 507 of the family's 1533-position model. The record is from RNAcentral.
AGUGAACGCUGGCGGUAGGCCUAACACAUGCCGGUCGAACGGCAGCACAGUAAGAGCUUGCUCUUACGGGUGGCGAGUGGCGGACGGGUGAGGAAUACAUCGGAAUCUACUUUUUCGUGGGGGAUAACGUAGGGAAACUUACGCUAAUACCGCAUACGACCUACGGGUGAAAGCAGGGGAUCUUCGGACCUUGCGCGAUUGAAUGAGCCGAUGUCGGAUUAGCUAGUUGGCGAGGUAAAGGCCCACCAAGGCGACGAUCCGUAGCUGGUCUGAGAGGAUGAUCAGCCACACUGGAACUGAGACACGGUCCAGACUCCUACGGGAGGCAGCAGUGGGGAAUAUUGGACAAUGGGCGAAAGCCUGAUCCAGCCAUACCGCGUGGGUGAAGAAGGCCUUCGGGUUGUAAAGCCCUUUUGUUGGGAAAGAAAAGCAGCAGGUUAAUACCCCGCUGUUCUGACGGUACCCAAAGAAUAAGCACCGGCUAACUUCGUG